Molecule: ribosomal RNA, 465 nt
Filed under: uncultured bacterium
Lineage: Bacteria
Description: partial 16S ribosomal RNA
Rfam family: Bacterial small subunit ribosomal RNA
Source: RNAcentral
GACGAACGCUGGCGGCGUGCUUAACACAUGCAAGUCGAGCGAGGCCCCUCCUUCGGGAGGGUGUCCUAGCGGCGAACGGGUGAGUAACACGUGGGCAACCUGCCCUCAGCUCUGGGAUAACUCCGGGAAACCGGGGCUAAUACCGGAUACGACCUCCACGGGCAUCUGCGGAGGUGGAAAGUUUUUCGGCUGAGGAUGGGCCCGCGGCCUAUCAGCUAGUUGGUGGGGUAGUGGCCCACCAAGGCGACGACGGGUAGCCGGCCUGAGAGGGCGACCGGCCACACUGGGACUGAGACACGGCCCAGACUCCUACGGGAGGCAGCAGUGGAGAAUAUUGCGCAAUGGGCGGAAGCCUGACGCAGCGACGCCGCGUGGGGGAAGAAGGCCUUCGGGUUGUAAACCUCUUUCAGCAGGGACGAAGCGAAAGUGACGGUACCUGCAGAAGAAGCACCGGCCAACUACGUG